Molecule: long non-coding RNA, 319 nt
Organism: Haliotis rubra (blacklip abalone)
Lineage: Eukaryota; Metazoa; Mollusca; Gastropoda; Lepetellida; Haliotidae
Exons: 3
Source: RefSeq, a predicted model, not a curated record
AAACCGUGAUUUACAGUCGCGCGUUUCUUUUCGUGUAAGGCUGGAUUUACACUACGUCCGAUUUUCUCUGCGUUGCGUCAUGCGUUGCGUCCGAAAAAACGCAAGCAGUACAUUUUCCAUUUAGACAGUACACUAGGUGCGAAUUUUGCAUGCGUUGCGAUCCGAAGCGAUUUAGAUAGGUAGGCCUCCUAUUUUUGACGCAACGCAAAUGAACUCGCAUGAGGAAUUCCCCUGAUGACGUCAUUCCAAUAAGGUAUUUGCCCAACACGUUGACAAUCAGGUAAGGUUAUUUCCUCAUCUUUCGAUAAACAUACGCUAU